GGGUGUGUAGCUCAGCUGGUAGAGCUGCGGUCUCCAAAGCCGCCGGUCGGGGGUUCGAAUCCCUCCGCACUCG
Molecule: transfer RNA, 73 nt
Filed under: Chlamydiae bacterium RIFCSPHIGHO2_12_FULL_49_11
Lineage: Bacteria; Pseudomonadati; Chlamydiota
Description: tRNA-Trp
Rfam family: tRNA
About the family: Transfer RNA (tRNA) molecules are approximately 80 nucleotides in length. Their secondary structure includes four short double-helical elements and three loops (D, anti-codon, and T loops).
Source: RNAcentral